AUGAUGUCGCGCCCGGUGGAGGUGGCCACGCCGGAACGGAGGCUGGCUGAGAUCGAUGCCCUCUUCGCAAUUCGGAGGGAGUUGCACACUGAAUCCUGCUACCUGACUGAUGUUGACAAGUGCUUUGGCUCCACCCAUAUGCUAGUGCUAGAUGUAACUUUUGGAAGCUUAUUACCCCUUUUCUUCUCCUCCAGUUAUGGCGUCUAUUCAUUUUCUGCAACUCUGGACGUGGGAGAGCGAGUUGGAUACUUUCAGCCGGAGGACUUGCUGACCACAAGCAACAACCUGGAGCUCCUCUCUGCAACUGCUACAGAAAAUUCUAACAUGGCUCACACGCGUUGCGUCUGCUGCACCCUCCACAUCAAGAAGAUGGUAUGCUCCUUCAGCGUCUGCCUCACCGCUCGCGUACGCAACCGUAUUGAAGGCUACACUGUUAUUGUCCUAUGCUUCUUUUCCAUGUCAGGGACCCUGAACUGGCGGCAGCAUUCCGUGGCCCAGAGUGACACCUUACCCUGUGUUUGUUGGAAACUGUUUGCUGCAGUGAUGAGCAACCCUGCCAACUUCGCAAAGCACCAGGCAAACCUAAAGGUGGGUUCCAUCAUAGCGAGGAUGGUGGCGAAGGUCAAGGGGAACCGGGAGCACCUGCUGACCACAAGCAUCAACUUAGACCCCCUCUCCACACCUGAUGCAGUGAUGGGCAAGCAACCCUGCCAGCCAACUUCGGCAAGCACCGGCAAAACCGAAGGCGGGUUCCAUCAUAGAAAAGAUGGUGGCGAAUGUCAAGGGGAACCGAUUUCAUUUUUCAGCUUGACAAUCUGCUUGUGGAAGAAUCAUUGCUUAAUCCCAUUCUACCUAGAUGGAAAAGGGGGCCUCCUUGAGUUCGCAGAGACGGCUGGUCAUAUUGUCAUUGUGGUGGCUGAGGGUGCAGCCCAGACCUCACCGUCUCUCCCUAGCCCCGAAAGCAAAGUUUUUUGCAGGGAGGACCUGCUGACCACAAGCAUCAACUUGGACCCCCUCUCUGCAACUGCUGCAGGUCAACCUAGACUCUGCAAAAAGUGCUGGCUACCUGCAAACUUUCCAUUAAUAGUAGUAGUAAUAGUAGUAUUCAUGAGUGCCACGUAUUUUCUUUCCAAGGAACCCUUGACUUCAGUUGGUCAUAUGGUCAUUGUAGUCGCUGAUGAUGCUGUCGACAAGAUCUCAUCGCCCAAAGUCCGCAUCCUUGUUGGAAUGUUGUGUUCACUGGAGAGACCUGACUUGGUUCCUUGGAUAUUGUCGAUAACCGGAGAGAAUAACCACGUGGAAGUCGUGGAGGAGCAUGAGUCAAGAGAAGUCAUAAGAACCCUUGACUUUGGUCACAAGUACCAUGCCGAUUGUUGCUUAAUCCCAGGGUCGCCAUUCUACGUUGAAGGAAAAGUGGGGCUCUGCAACUUCAUACAGAAGGCUGAUCGUAUGGUCAUUGUGGUGGCUGGCGAUGCUAGCCAUAAGAUCUCAUCGCCCAAAUCAUUAAUUGUGUGGACCCCACCAUCUCUUCCUCGGCUCAACUACAGUGAAAACCUUAGGUUUUUAUAUUUUUUUGGUUAUUUGCAACAGACUCGUUGGUCCGGGUCCAUCACUGUUAGAAUGUUGUGCAACAUGAAAAGGCAUGAGCCUGUUGUAACUCUCUCUUGUCAUCGUCUUGUGUUUUUGUGUUCAUUGCAGAGACCUGACUUGAUUCUUUGGAUAUUAUUGAUCACAGGAGAGGAGAAGAAACACCUGGAAGUCGUGGUUGGUUGUUACAGGGCCAGGGGGGUCUUGAGGAUAUGGUCAAGGGCCAUAUGUGUGGAGACGGUUGUCAAAGCAAUUAAGAUGUGUAGUUUGGCUGGUUCAAGAUAUAUGCAAAUGAUGAGCAAGCAACCCUGCCACCUUAGGCAAGCACCAGGGAAACCCGAAGAUGGGUUUCAUCAUAGCAAAGCUACAGCACUGUGGCACCCUGACCUUUUUAGGAAGAAGCACCUUUUGAUUCAGGACAUAUUUGAGUUCAUUGAAAGUUUACCUUGGUCUUACCGUGUGAAGUGUGAUCUAUUUGCUGUGGUAGGAGAUAGACCUGACUUGGUUCUUUGGAUGAUAUUGAUGACAGGAGAGGAGAAGAAAUACGUGGAAGUCGUGGUUGGUUGUUACAGGGCCAGGGGUCUUGAGGACAAAUAUGAGGAGACAGUUGUCAAAGCCAUACUGCAACCCCGACACACGGUGGUGAUCUUCCUCGCCUGCAUCGACUCCGGCCGCCUCUUCUUUGACUCCUGCAUGGGUAAGACACCCGGUUCCUUCUCUUGCCCUCUCACAUGCUCCAAGGAGCCCGACCAUCAUGGCCAUGUUGUGCCGGCCAUCAUGCCAAUGACCAAGUGCUUGUGGUGGUGGUGGUCAUCUGGCCACCAAUCCUCUUGA
RNAcentral lists this ribosomal RNA (2421 nucleotides) under Triticum aestivum (bread wheat). RNAcentral describes it as "partial small subunit ribosomal RNA". The record is from RNAcentral. Lineage: Eukaryota; Viridiplantae; Streptophyta; Magnoliopsida; Poales; Poaceae.